GAGGAAUAUUGGUCAAUGGACGCAAGUCUGAACCAGCCACGUCGCGUGAAGGAAGACGGCCCUACGGGUUGUAAACUUCUUUUGUAAGGGAAUAAAGUGUAGUACGUGUACUAUUUUGCAUGUACCUUACGAAUAAGGAUCGGCUAACUCCGUGCCAGCAGCCGCGGUAAUACGGAGGAUCCGAGCGUUAUCCGGAUUUAUUGGGUUUAAAGGGUGCGCAGGCGGGAGAUUAAGUCGGCGGUGAAAUUUUGCAGCUCAACUGUAAAAGUGCCUUCGAAACUGGUUUCCUUGAGUGUGGAUGAAGUAGGCGGAAUUUGUGGUGUAGCGGUGAAAUGCAUAGAUAUCACGAGGAACUCCGAUUGCGCAGGCAGCUUACUAAACCAUAACUGACGCUCAGGCACGAAGGCGUGGGGAUCAAACA
RNAcentral lists this ribosomal RNA (421 nucleotides) under uncultured Porphyromonadaceae bacterium. Its description in RNAcentral is "bacterial SSU rRNA". It matches the Rfam family "Bacterial small subunit ribosomal RNA", at positions 356 to 774 of the family's 1533-position model. Lineage: Bacteria; Pseudomonadati; Bacteroidota; Bacteroidia; Bacteroidales; Porphyromonadaceae. The record is from RNAcentral.